AUUAGAUCUUGAUCAUUCUUUUUUGUUGUUUUACGGUCUAGAUUAAUUUGUUAUUAUUUUUUUUUUAAUUUUAGUUUAGGCAUUGAAAUCUAAUUCUAGAGGGGUAGUAGAGUAAUUUUGCCUUAUUUGUAUCAUUACAAAUUUAGAAUGGCGUGAUUUUCUCCUUUUUUUCCUUCUGUGUGUAGUGUUUCAAUUGGAUCAGUAGUCUCUCUUUUAGUCUAGCAGUUCACGCAUCGCACUACAGCUCUCUCUCUCUUGUCAUCUCUCUCUAUCGCGUGCAACGUGCGAAGCUCCAUGGCCGCCUCUUCUCUUAAGCGGUCAAAGCGGCUAAAGAGGAAUUCUUUCGAUGAUGUUUAAGGAAAUGAAGAUGGAGAGAGUCGAAACGUGGUCCAAGAUAGUCUGUUUAAUGUUGGAAAAAUAAAAUAGAUUGUGGCGUGUUUGUAUGCGUCACAUAUCCGUAUAAAUAAUUGUUUUUAGUGCUUGUACUUUAUUAGAUUAUGGUCAUAUUAAUUUUUUUUGAGAAUAUUAUGGUCAUAUUAAUUAUGAAGGCAUUUUGCUAGUUUA
This is a long non-coding RNA of Ipomoea triloba (trilobed morning glory), 564 nucleotides long. RefSeq lists it as uncharacterized. The transcript has 2 exons. Lineage: Eukaryota; Viridiplantae; Streptophyta; Magnoliopsida; Solanales; Convolvulaceae. The record is from RefSeq and is a predicted model, not a curated record.